GUAAGGAAUAUUGGACAAUGGUCGAAAGACUGAUCCAGCCAUGCCGCGUGCAGGAUGAAGGAGCUCAGCUCUGUAAACUGCUUUUGUUCGGGAAAAAACCCCUGCAUUCUUGCGGGGCUGAUUGUACUGAAAGAAUAAGGGACGGCUAACUUCGUGCCAGCAGCCGCGGUAAUACGAAGGUCCCAAGCGUUAUCCGGAUUUAUUGGGUUUAAAGGGUGCGUAGGCGGGUUAUUAAGUCAGUGGUGAAAGCUCCAUGCCUAACAUGGAAAUUGCCAUUGAUACUGAUGAUCUUGAGUACAUUUGAAGUGGGCGGAAUGUGUCAUGUAGCGGUGAAAUGCUUAGAUAUGACACAGAACACCGAUUGCGUAGGCAGCUCGCUAAACUGUAACUGACGCUGAGGCACGAAAGCGCGGGGAGCAAACAGGAUUAGAUACCCGGGUAGUCC
Molecule: ribosomal RNA, 445 nt
Filed under: uncultured bacterium
Lineage: Bacteria
Description: bacterial SSU rRNA
Rfam family: Bacterial small subunit ribosomal RNA
Source: RNAcentral